Mycena vulgaris is the source of this 92-nucleotide non-coding RNA. The record is from the annotation of a GenBank genome assembly. Lineage: Eukaryota; Fungi; Basidiomycota; Agaricomycetes; Agaricales; Mycenaceae.
GGCGGGGUAGCACACGGUGUGCGCUGGGUUUGUAUUCGAGGAUCAGGUGUAAUGAUUACCUGGAGGUGCCCGUUCGACUCGGGCCCCCGCCA